CCUACGGGUGGCAGCAGUGGGGAAUAUUGGACAAUGGGGGCAACCCUGAUCCAGCCAUGCCGCGUGUGUGAAGAAGGCCCUCGGGUUGUAAAGCACUUUCAGUGAGGAAGAACGCCUGGUGGUUAAUACCCAUCAGGAAAGACAUCACUCACAGAAGAAGCACCGGCUAACUCCGUGCCAGCAGCCGCGGUAAUACGGAGGGUACGAGCGUUAAUCGGAAUUACUGGGCGUAAAGCGCGCGUAGGUGGCUUGAUAAGCCGGUUGUGAAAGCCCCGGGCUCAACCUGGGAACGGCAUCCGGAACUGUCAAGCUAGAGUGCAGGAGAGGAAGGUAGAAUUCCCGGUGUAGCGGUGAAAUGCGUAGAGAUCGGGAGGAAUACCAGUGGCGAAGGCGGCCUUCUGGACUGACACUGACACUGAGGUGCGAAAGCGUGGGUAGCAAACAGGAUUAGAUACCCGUGUAGUC
This 465-nucleotide ribosomal RNA is filed under the name Vreelandella stevensii. Its description in RNAcentral is "partial 16S ribosomal RNA". It matches the Rfam family "Bacterial small subunit ribosomal RNA", at positions 338 to 795 of the family's 1533-position model. The record is from RNAcentral. Lineage: Bacteria; Pseudomonadati; Pseudomonadota; Gammaproteobacteria; Oceanospirillales; Halomonadaceae.